UGAGGAAUAAGCUUUGUAGGAAAUGACAAAGUGAUGACGUUAAUUUAUGAAUAAGCCCCGGCUAAUUACGUGCCAGCAGCCGCGGUAAUACGUAAGGGGCGAGCGUUGUUCGGGAUUAUUGGGCGUAAAGGGUGAGUAGGCGGAUAUAUAAGUCUAUGCAUAAAAUACCACAGCUCAACUGUGGAACUAUGUUGGAAACUAUAUGUCUAGAGUCUGAUAGAGGAAGUUAGAAUUCCUGGUGUAAGGGUGGAAUCUGUUGAUAUCAGGAAGAAUACCGGAGGCGAAGGCGAACUUCUGGGUCAAGACUGACGCUGAGUCACGAAAGCA
This 327-nucleotide ribosomal RNA is filed under the name uncultured Borreliella sp. RNAcentral describes it as "bacterial SSU rRNA". It matches the Rfam family "Bacterial small subunit ribosomal RNA", at positions 443 to 761 of the family's 1533-position model. The record is from RNAcentral. Lineage: Bacteria; Pseudomonadati; Spirochaetota; Spirochaetia; Spirochaetales; Borreliaceae.